RNAcentral lists this unclassified non-coding RNA (358 nucleotides) under soil metagenome. Its description in RNAcentral is "partial contains 5.8S ribosomal RNA, internal transcribed spacer 2, and large subunit ribosomal RNA". The stretch from base 1 to 120 matches the Rfam family "5.8S ribosomal RNA", at positions 35 to 154 of the family's 154-position model. The record is from RNAcentral.
GAUGAAGAACGCAGCGAAAUGCGAUAAGUAAUGUGAAUUGCAGAAUUCAGUGAAUCAUCGAAUCUUUGAACGCACAUUGCGCCCGUCAGUAUUCUGGCGGGCAUGCCUGUUCGAGCGUCAUUACGCCCCUCAAGUCCCCUGUGGACUUGGUGUUGGGGAUCGGCGAGGCUGGUUUUCCAGCACAGCCGUCCCUUAAAUUAAUUGGCGGUCUCGCCGUGGCCCUCCUCUGCGCAGUAGUAGAACACUCGCAACAGGAGCCCGGCGCGGUCCACUGCCGUAAAACCCCCCAACUUUUUAUAGUUGACCUCGAAUCAGGUAGGACUACCCGCUGAACUUAAGCAUAUCAAUAAGCGGAGGA